GACGAACGCUGGCGGCGUGCCUAAUACAUGCAAGUUGAGCGAUGAAGAUUGGUGCUUGCACCAAUUUGAAGAGCAGCGAACGGGUGAGUAACGCGUGGGGAAUCUGCCUUUGAGCGGGGGACAACAUUUGGAAACGAAUGCUAAUACCGCAUAACAACUUUAAACAUAAGUUUUAAGUUUGAAAGAUGCAAUUGCAUCACUCAAAGAUGAUCCCGCGUUGUAUUAGCUAGUUGGUGAGGUAAAGGCUCACCAAGGCGAUGAUACAUAGCCGACCUGAGAGGGAGAUCGGCCAAAAUGGGACUUGGACCCGGGCCAAACUCCUAAGGGAGGCAGGAGUAGGGAAUCUUCGGCAAUGGACGAAAGUCUUACCGAAGAACGCCGCGGGAGUGAAGAAGGUUUUCGGAUCGGAAAACUCUGUUGGGAUGGAAGAACGUUGGUGAGAGUGGAAAGCUCAUCAAGUGACGGUAACUACCCAGAAAGGGACGGCUAACUACGUG
RNAcentral lists this ribosomal RNA (497 nucleotides) under uncultured bacterium. Its description in RNAcentral is "partial 16S ribosomal RNA". It matches the Rfam family "Bacterial small subunit ribosomal RNA", at positions 28 to 507 of the family's 1533-position model. The record is from RNAcentral.